AACGAACGCUGGCGGCAGGCCUAACACAUGCAAGUCGAACGCCCUAGCAAUAGGGAGUGGCGCACGGGUGCGUAACGCGUGGGAAUAUGCCCUUCACUGCGGAAUAACGUUUGGAAACGAACGCUAAUACCGCAUAAUGACUCCGGUCCAAAGAUUUAUCGGUGAAGGAUUAGCCCGCGUUAGAUUAGCUAGUUGGUGAGGUAAUGGCUCACCAAGGCGACGAUCUAUAGCUGGUCUGAGAGGAUGAUCAGCCACACUGGGACUGAGACACGGCCCAGACUCCCUACGGGAGGCAGCAGUGAGGAAUAUUGGACAAUGGGCGCAAGCCUGAUCCAGCCAUGCCGCGUGAGUGAAGAAGG
Molecule: ribosomal RNA, 359 nt
Filed under: uncultured bacterium
Lineage: Bacteria
Description: bacterial SSU rRNA
Rfam family: Bacterial small subunit ribosomal RNA
Source: RNAcentral